AAAAUCAAAUAGACGGCGUAGAAGAUUGCAGAGUGAAUUUAAUU
This 44-nucleotide non-coding RNA is filed under the name Trypanosoma brucei brucei. The record is from RNAcentral. Lineage: Eukaryota; Euglenozoa; Kinetoplastea; Trypanosomatida; Trypanosomatidae.